CUCGGACCGAUUGUAAUAUGUAGAGNAUCUUCUUGCGACAUUCCUUCCGAGUCCCUGUAACGGGGCGCCGUAUAGGGUGAGAGCCCCGUACGGUUGGAUACUACCUCUGUGAAGCUCCUUCGACGAGUCGAGUAGUUUGGGAAUGCUGCUCUAAUCGGGAGGUAAAUUCCUUCUAAAGCUAAAUACCGGCCAGAGACCGAUAGCGCACAAGUAGAGUGAUCGAAAGAUGAUAAGCACUUUGGAAAGAGGGUUAAACAGUACGUGAAAUUGCUGAAAGGGAAGCGCUUGCGACCAGACUCGGGCCUGGCGGAUCAUCCGGCGUUCUCGCCGGUGCACUUCGUCUGGCCUGGGCCACAUCGGUUCGUCCCGCGGGAUAAAGCUCGGGAAACGUAGCUUCCUCCGGGAAAGUGUUAUAGUCCCCCGCCUAAUGCCCCCUGCCGGACCGAGGACCGCGCUAAGGAUCUGGCGUAAUGGCCGUCAGCGACCCGUCUUGAAACACGGACCAAGGAGUCGAACAUUUGUGCCAUGGUUUGGUGGNAAACCUUACCCGUAAUGAAAGUGAACCGAGGUGGGACCUUUGCGCACCAUCGACCGAUCCUGAAAUUUCUGAAUGGAUUGAGUAGGAGCCCACUGUUCGGACCCCAAAAAUGGUGAACUUUGCUGUUUUAGGGUGAACCCCAGGAAAACUUUGUGGAGGUCUCCACGGGUUUUUACGGCAAAUUGAUCGUCCAAAUUGGCCUUGGGGGCAAAAA
Molecule: ribosomal RNA, 752 nt
Filed under: Lulworthia fucicola
Lineage: Eukaryota; Fungi; Ascomycota; Sordariomycetes; Lulworthiales; Lulworthiaceae
Description: eukaryotic LSU rRNA
Rfam family: Eukaryotic large subunit ribosomal RNA
Source: RNAcentral